Molecule: non-coding RNA, 134 nt
Filed under: Amborella trichopoda
Lineage: Eukaryota; Viridiplantae; Streptophyta; Magnoliopsida; Amborellales; Amborellaceae
Source: RNAcentral
GUGUUCGUUGAAAGGAGAGACGGUUGGCAUCUCCCCUGAUAGGGACGGGAACAAGCCUUCGGGCUUUCUUGUUACCGAAUACAUCCGGUUAAGGCUACCCACCUCGUUUGAGGUGGAUCUUACCCAAUUUUUUU